Molecule: long non-coding RNA, 773 nt
Organism: Xenopus laevis (African clawed frog)
Lineage: Eukaryota; Metazoa; Chordata; Amphibia; Anura; Pipidae
Exons: 3
Source: RefSeq, a predicted model, not a curated record
AUGGGGUGCUGGAAGAAACAGUUUUACAGGAACAGAUAGGGGUGCAGCAUGGUAUUGGGGUUCAAAGUGUAAGAGAGGUGCAGGGUGUUGGGGGAGAGCAGAAUAGAGAGAUGAAACCUGGGAUGGUAAGAGGGGUAAAUGCACAGAGCUUUAGUGGGGUGCAAGACAGUGAGGAGCAGAUGGAGGCAGAUGUGCUGGGAGAUGACAGAGCACAGAGGAUAGGAUUGGGGUGCAAGAAGAAGUGAGAAGGGUACAGGGGAUUAAUGACGUACAGUGGGAUAUUGGGGUACAGAAAGGGCUAAAGGUUCAGAUACAGGUAGGGAGUGUAAAACACAGAGUUAGAGGGGUGCAGGAAACUAGAAUGCAGGAAGAUGGGGUGCUGGGAGAUGGGGUUGAGGGGGAGGUUUGGGGGCAGGGAGUUGGAGGGCUGCAGGGAGUUGGAGGGCUGCAGUGUUUGUUAUAGGGUGCAGGAAGAUACAGAGGAGCAGGUCUCACAGGUUAAACCAACAGGGGACACAGGGGGUGACUAUUUCACAGCAGAGGGGCAAGACAUGGGCACAACGCUGUACCGAGCAGCCACCAGUAUAAACUGAAUCUCACUGCAGACACUAUCACACAGGUGGAGAAGUUGGAAGAUUCCAUAGAGGAGAUGCUGGUGAGGCUGGACAAGUUCUGCAUUUGAUGGAUAUGAAAACCGGACCACAACAGCUAUUUAUAAACUUCCAAAGAUGUACAGGACAGAAGACUACUUUCCCACCACUUCCAUCCAUCCC